CACGUCCCUGUGCCCUGCCCAGCCUCGUGUCUCCAGACUCUCGGAGAAGAGUACGUGACUUAGGCCGAAGCCGAUCGGUGCAUUGCAUUUCCUUGGCCACAGUGACUGGGUCAUUGAUAAUCAUGUGACUUAAUGAGAGCAAAUUAGAGAAGCAAUGAGACUGGUUGGGCAUCCUGGGAAGGUGCCCUGGCAGUGUCCUUGCUGGACGUGAAUGUGUGGUGUGAGGUUGGGGAUGCUGCAGCUUUCUUGCUGCCGGCAGGCCACGCAGGGCUGAGGCUGUGGUCCAGCCGGGAAGAGGACAAGAGACCGUGGAUCUUCAGGACGGUGCCUGAGUCCCUGAGUCCAGCGGUGUCUGGGGAGUCCCGCCUCCAGAUGCUGUUACGUGACUCGAAAGUUCUGACUAAUGAGAACUGGAGGUUCUUCAUGCCUACCCUAAAAUCCUGCAGAAUCCUCAGGCAUCCCUGAAAAGAGACGUCGUGUUCUCAAGCGUUGGUUCGGACUCUGGUCACGAGUGAUGCUCAGAACACGGCUGCUGUGUAGACAUGCUCAGUAAGUACUGGUCCAGGAAUAACUGUGAUGUGGCGCAUAUGAACUGCGGCAGCAAGUCGGAGGGGUGCCCACCCCAGCCUUGAAGGAGUGCUCCCUGGAGGAGGCAAUCCUGUGUUGAGAUUUGAAGGAUGAACAGGAGGCAGCAAGGUGGACCAGGAGCCCCCAGAAUCAUCCACGGAACGGGCAGAAUAACAGAAGAGCAGUUUUCUCUCUUGGAGACAUAUGGAAAACAGUUUGUUUGCUUGGAGGAAAAUCAUAGCUUGUUGUUUUUGUCCCCCCCCAGAG
Molecule: long non-coding RNA, 834 nt
Filed under: Equus caballus (horse)
Lineage: Eukaryota; Metazoa; Chordata; Mammalia; Perissodactyla; Equidae
Description: lncRNA (ENSECAG00000036280.3)
Source: RNAcentral